GACGAACGCUGGCGGCGUGCCUAAUACAUGCGAGUAGAACGCUGAAGGAGGAGCUUGCUCUUCUGGAUGAGUUGCGAACGGGUGAGUAACGCGUAGGUAACCUGCCUGGUAGCGGGGGAUAACUAUUGGAAACGAUAGCUAAUAACGCAUAACAGUAGAUGUUGCAUGACAUUUGCUUAAAAGGUGCAAUUGCACCACUACCAGAUGGACCUGCGUUGUAUUAGCUAGUUGGUGGGGUAACGGCUCACCAAGGCGACGAUACAUAGCCGACCUGAGAGGGUGAUCGGCCACACUGGGACUGAGACACGGCCCAGACUCCUACGGGAGGCAGCAGUAGGGAAUCUUCGGCAAUGGACGGAAGUCUGACCGAGCAACGCCGCGUGAGUGAAGAAGGUUUUCGGAUCGUAAAGCUCUGUUGUAAGAGAAGAACGAGUGUGAGAGUGGAAAGUUCACACUGUGACGGUAUCUUACCAGAAAGGGACGGCUAACUACGUG
RNAcentral lists this ribosomal RNA (495 nucleotides) under uncultured bacterium. RNAcentral's name for it is "partial 16S ribosomal RNA". It matches the Rfam family "Bacterial small subunit ribosomal RNA", at positions 28 to 507 of the family's 1533-position model. The record is from RNAcentral.